ACACACACACACACACGUUCUCCUGGGGCCGCUUGCUCUGGCCAGGGAGAAGAAACCACAAGGCACCAGUUGGUCAGCAUUAUGAUGAGGAAAUUAUUUUUGAAGGAUAGUUGAAAUGAACACAAAGUAGAAGAAAAAAUUUAGAAGGAAACCACAAGUGAGUAACAGUGAUGAUGACAAGGGAAUGAACAAAGAGUUAGGAACUAAGAAGGCCUUGGCUUGCAGACUUUUACAAGAGCCUGGUACAAGAAGACUGGUGUGUGAAGAGCAGUGCUGGUCUUCCUUAGGGACCAGACAGGAGGCGAGAGGCUUAAGUUGCUGUGUGGGAUUUAGAUAACAGAAAAGGAAAAAUUUUCAGACAGUGAGGUUUGAUAGACACUGGGAUGUGUAACUGGGGAAGCUUGUGGAAUUUCCUUCUCUCAACAUCUUUUUAAAAACCGACAGCAUCUCAUCUGCUUAAAGGAUGGACUCUAUUUGACCUCUAAAGUGUCUACUGAACCCAGAGGGUGAACCUCAUCUCCCAAAGGAAAAGAGAGCUUGUGUGAUCCCGAGGAGCUUGAAUGAUGAAAAUAUCAUGAACAUUUUUCAUGCUUAAUUUGAUUUCCACAUGGUAUAUACAUAAAUCAUAACUGCUAUAGCGAGUCUUUUGGUCUAAUGUUUUUGUUGUAAGGUCUGGAGAUUAGAGUUUAAGUAAAAGUCUUCUAGGGAGAGAAGGCAGAACUCUUUUAUCUGACUUUUUGAGCUUAUUUGUAGGAGAGCAUAAUAAGCAAGGUGAAAAGGUUAUUUCUGACUUUGAUUUCACUUCCCAUGCUAAAUUUAAAAAUUACCAUCUUUUUUGUUGGCUU
RNAcentral lists this long non-coding RNA (845 nucleotides) under Cricetulus griseus (Chinese hamster). Its description in RNAcentral is "lncRNA (ENSCGRG00015029096.1)". Lineage: Eukaryota; Metazoa; Chordata; Mammalia; Rodentia; Cricetidae. The record is from RNAcentral.